This 607-nucleotide ribosomal RNA is filed under the name uncultured soil bacterium. Its description in RNAcentral is "bacterial SSU rRNA". It matches the Rfam family "Bacterial small subunit ribosomal RNA", at positions 34 to 626 of the family's 1533-position model. The record is from RNAcentral.
CGCUGGCGGCGCGCCUAACACAUGCAAGUCGAGCGAGANCCGGAGCUUCGGCUCCGGGGNACAGCGGCGAACGGGUGAGUAACACGUGGAUAACCUGCCCUCGGCACCGGAAUAGCCCGGGGAAACCCGGAUUAAUGCCGGAUGGCCCCACAUCCCUGCGGGGAACGUGGGAAAAGGUAGCUUCGGCCUCUGGCCGAGGAUGGGUCCGCGGUGGAUUAGCUUGUUGGUGGGGUAAUGGCCCACCAAGGCGACGAUCCAUAGCUGGUCUGAGAGGACGAUCAGCCACACUGGGACUGAGACACGGCCCAGACUCCUACGGGAGGCAGCAGUGGGGAAUCUUGCGCAAUGGGCGAAAGCCUGACGCAGCGACGCCGCGUGCGGGAAGAAGGCCUUAGGGUUGUAAACCGCUUUCAGGAGGGACGAAGCCACUCGGGUGAAUAGCCCAGAGGGUGACGGUACCUCCAGAAGAAGCCCCGGCUAACUACGUGCCAGCAGCCGCGGUAAUACGUAGGGGGCAAGCGUUGUCCGGAUUCAUUGGGCGUAAAGAGCGUGUAGGCGGCCAGGUAGGUCGGUUGUGAAAACUGGAGGCUCAACCUUCAGAGGUCGA